UUAAGCAUAUCAAUAAGCGGAGGAAAAGAAACUAACAAGGAUUCCCCUAGUAACUGCGAGUGAAGAGGGAAGAGCUCACAUUUAAAAUCUGGCGGUCUGGCGGCCGUCCGAGUUGUAGCCUGGAGAAGCGUCCUCUGCGCCGGACCCGUGUACAAGUCUCCUGGAACGGAGCGUCGUAGAGGGUGAUAAUCCCGUCGUCGACACGGACCUCCGGUUAGCUAUGCGAGGCGCUCUCGAAGAGUCGAGUUGUUUGGGAAUGCAGCUCAAAGUGGGUGGUGAAUUCCAUCUAAAGCUAAAUACAGGCGAGAGACCGAUAGCGGACAAGUACCGUGAGGGAAAGAUGAAAAGCACUCUGGAAAGAGAGUUAAACAGCACGUGAAAUCGCUGAGAGGGAAACGCUUGAAGUCAGUCGCGUCGGCGUUAGGAGGUCAGCCUUCCCGGGAUAAUAACCGUGGGGCGCACUCUCCCGUCGACGGGCCAGCAUCGAUUUCGACCGCCGGAGAAGGGCUCGGGGAACGUGGCACCUCCGGGUGUGUUAUAGCCCCCUGUCGUAUGCGGCGGUCGGGAUCGAGGUUUUUACAUGUUCGCAGCACGCCUUUUUGGCCGGGGCCGUUCGCGGUCCACGUCCGUGCUUAGGAUGCUGGCGUAAUGGCUUUAAACGACCCGUCUUGAAACACGGACCAAGGAGUCCAACUCGCCUGCGAGUG
RNAcentral lists this ribosomal RNA (707 nucleotides) under Wolfiporia cocos. RNAcentral's name for it is "LSU rRNA". It matches the Rfam family "Eukaryotic large subunit ribosomal RNA", at positions 34 to 692 of the family's 3401-position model. The record is from RNAcentral. Lineage: Eukaryota; Fungi; Basidiomycota; Agaricomycetes; Polyporales; Phaeolaceae.